This 847-nucleotide long non-coding RNA is filed under the name Aquilegia coerulea. Its description in RNAcentral is "long non-coding RNA (ACOE_LNC000099)". Lineage: Eukaryota; Viridiplantae; Streptophyta; Magnoliopsida; Ranunculales; Ranunculaceae. The record is from RNAcentral.
CUAGUAGGUGGACCCGUGCUACGCACGGGAUAAAUCAGUUUUCGUUUAGCUGAUGGUAUUACUUCAAGAUUUAUUCGGUUGAGUUAUAUGGAAUAACUCUGAGAAGAAGAAAAAAACAAAAAAACAAAAAAACAAACAAACAUCUAGAUGGAUGAUAUCAUCACUACAAUUUAUAUUGGGUAUUUUUUUUUAUAAAAUCGUAUUUUAAUAAAAAUAAAAGUAGAAUACGAUCCUGACCAGCAUGCUUAAAACGUUGUAAGGUCCAAGGACUCCUAAUCACUCACGCAAUUAGAUUCUGCACUCUAAACAUCAGCUCUUGAUCCAUACCCAUAGUCAAUUGGUUUAUUUGUGCCUUUCUUUUCCAGCUUGAGCACCAAUACCAAAUACUGAAUUUCACAUCUUCACAAAUUGGACUCCUGAUUAUCUCCCCUCCCUUGAAAAUAGCAUCAUUCCUCCUUGUCCACAACGACCAUAAUACAACAUCGAGCAUGGACCUCCACACCUUUCUUCCAAAAUCCUGCUUCAACCAUUGUUCAACAGAAUCCCACCCAAACAAAUUGGAAAACAAAUCUGGCUUUGGCUGCAACAGGGUACGCCACACUCUAAUGCAACAGAGCAAUGCAAAAGGAGGUGUGGAAUUGUUUCGUCAAAAGUACCACGCAUUGAGCAUAAAGUAGUUACUUGCAUACCUCUGUAAAGAAGAUUAUUGGCAGUUAAGGUUCUAUCGAGCAUCGAGGACCAGAGAAAAUUUUACCUCUAAUAGCAACCCGUUUGCCACACUAAUUUGAAAGGGAAAGAAACAUGUUUAGCAGCUUGAGUUUGUCUAGUUUGAAUUGAUUCUCUUCCC